UGCAGUCGAACGGCAGCACGGGAGCAAUCCUGGUGGCGAGUGGCGAACGGGUGAGUAAUAUAUCGGAACGUGCCCAGUCGUGGGGGAUAACGCAGCGAAAGCUGUGCUAAUACCGCAUACGAUCUAUGGAUGAAAGCGGGGGACCGUAAGGCCUCGCGCGAUUGGAGCGGCCGAUAUCAGAUUAGCUUGUUGGUGGGGUAAAAGCCCACCAAGGCGACGAUCUGUAGCUGGUCUGAGAGGACGACCAGCCACACUGGAACUGAGACACGGUCCAGACUCCUACGGGAGGCAGCAGUGGGGAAUUUUGGACAAUGGGCGCAAGCCUGAUCCAGCAAUGCCGCGUGCAGGAUGAAGGCCUUCGGGUUGUAAACUGCUUUUGUACGGAACGAAACGGCUCUUUCUAAUAAAGAGGGCUAAUGACGGUACCGUAAGAAUAAGCACCGGCUAACUACGUGCCAGCAGCCGCGGUUAUACGUAGGGUGCGAGCGUUAAUCGGAAUUACUGGGCGUAAAGCGUGCGCAGGCGGUUAUAUAAGACAGAUGUGAAAUCCCCGGGCUCAACCUGGGACCUGCAUUUGUGACUGUAUAGCUAGAGUACGGUAGAGGGGGAUGGAAUUCCGCGUGUAGCAGUGAAAUGCGUAGAUAUGCGGAGGAACACCGAUGGCGAAAGGCAAUCCCCUGGACCUGUACUGACGCUCAUGCACGAAAGCGUGGGGAGCAAACAGGAUUAGAUACCCUGGUAGUCCACGCCCUAAACGAUGUCAACUGGGUUGUUGGGUCUUCACUGACUCAGUAACGAAGCUACGCGUGAANUGACCGCCUGGG
RNAcentral lists this ribosomal RNA (824 nucleotides) under uncultured bacterium. RNAcentral's name for it is "bacterial SSU rRNA". It matches the Rfam family "Bacterial small subunit ribosomal RNA", at positions 56 to 877 of the family's 1533-position model. The record is from RNAcentral.